This is a long non-coding RNA of Asparagus officinalis (garden asparagus), 621 nucleotides long. RefSeq lists it as uncharacterized. NCBI's taxonomy places the organism in Eukaryota, Viridiplantae, Streptophyta, Magnoliopsida, Asparagales, Asparagaceae. The record is from RefSeq and is a predicted model, not a curated record. The transcript has 4 exons.
UCCAAAUUCUCAAUCAUAUCUAAUUCGAUUUUUUGUUCUUGACAUUGGAGGAUAAGCUCCCAAAUCCAGUGAGGGAGAUUAUGGUGAAGAAAUUGGUCCUCAAUAUUCUAGUUGGAGAGAGCGGAGAUCGAUUCACCAAACCGCUAAGGAUGCAGGUCAUCGCACUUACGGAAGAACUCUUAGCUACUGCAAAGCAUAAUGAAGAAUCUGGUCUGGUGGCCCAACAUAAUGCAGAUGCAUCUCCCGAGCAGGAGACGUUUAGUAGAAUUUCACAGUAUCAAGUAAAUGAGUUGGAUGGAUGUUAAUUGCCAAGUUAUCUGCAGCGAAUUGUUACAAGUCUGACCAUUUGAAAAAAAAAACCAGAGAACUGGGAACUAGGAACUUGGAUUUGAUUAUGUUGGAAGCAGAGAGAGCAACUUGUCAUGAUGUUGCAAGCAAACUGGAAUAUUUAAACAGUUGUUCCCUUCUUUCUUUUCUCUCACAUUUUCCUCUCUUUCCAUUGUGUUUCAUUUUUUCCUUCAUGGAUUACAAGCAAACUGGAAUAUUUAAAUAGGCCUUUGAGUGUUGACUUGGAAAUGAAAAUGGAUGUAACUAUUUUGGAAUGGGAGCAAAUUCUUUGUU